UUGGGGCAGCGGUAUUAAAUUACGUCGUAUCUUACUGGCUACACCAGGUUGGGUUUAGUUAAGCAGAGCGGUUAUUGAACUUAAUAGCAAAUCACGGUGAACUGACGCUGGUAACCAGCUUUUUGGUAAACAGUACUAACGUUAGAGAUACUAGUGCUACGUAAUUUUUAUCGGCGAAGGAACAACGUUCCAGGUCAUGUUGCACCUUUAAGUCGACGAAACAGUGCGUAGCAAGUGAUUCACAAGAACUUCUCAUAGGUGUAAUCAGUAACAUUGUUGAAUCAUCAUCAGUAGUGAAUUCUACUUAUUUGGCUUCUAGACGGAGCAUUUUAACUAUUUUCCCGCUUUUAGAGGAUUUCUCCGAACAUCUCAGUGAAGCAGAGGAGAACGGCAAGAUGGCUGACAGUACGUAACCAACUGUGACCGCGAAAAAAUUUUACAUUUUAACGUUAACAAUUAAACACCGAAAUUAAUUUAAAUGCGAUGUUUGGUUUUUUUAACUGCUGAACUCUUUAAGUGCAUUAAUAGCAACCUACGAGGACAGCAUUUCAACUAUAAAGUCGUCCUACAUGCCACGUAUACACAGCGAACACACAGAGGACAGGGAUGCCACCUCCGCAGCUGUUGUGAACGUCGAGGUUGGGGCGAAGACACGGGCGCUGCCUCGCUACCUGCUGCUAAUCCGCUGCCCGGAGCAAACGCAUGCUAUUGUGGCUCCAUUAGCCUCCACAGUAGAACCGACGCGUCUGGUCAGCCGACAGGGCAAGCCUGUGUGAUGAAUGGGGUCACCACGCGGCAGUGGUCAUCGACCCUGAGCCAACUGACAUGAAAUGUUUGUUGAAUACACGUGAAAGACACUGGAAUUUACAUAAAUUUAGACAUGAUAUCAGUCGUGUAAGGGAGAGAGUUAACAACAACUUGCUACAGAGAUGAGGGCCGCCGAUUAGACGAUGGCUACCCGGGCUUCUGGUCAGAUCUGUCCUGUUCUGCUGCUCUGUGGUACCCCAGGGCUACCUCUGAUGUUACUUGUUUGGUAGUAACCCCACGUCUGCCCAAUGCUUCUAGCUCGUCUUGCACGCCUACUCAGCCUAGUGCUCUCGCUGAUAACCACCGUAUAGAGUCAUGCUGCCACAGCCGCAAUUCUAUUCACACAGGUUUUCAAACUACCAUGUCUCAGUGAUGUCUUAAGACGGCACAUAUAUUACAGUCUUUAUGAUUGUUGUGAUGGUAUUUGCACAGAAACGAAGGUAAUCGGGUAACAGACUGAAUAAAUCAUAAUUAUACUAUUACUUUGUAUAGAGCCGCCAUAGACCGUGGGUUUCUUGUACCAAAAUACCUAAAAGGUAUACCUGAACAACCUUUGAAAAUUUGCUGCUUGAGUUCUAGUUCGAGUUGGGACUUAAAUAGUGGAAACUAUUUAUUCACAGCCGAUACAAAAGAGUUACAUGUUUACACCUGUUACUGUCCUUCAAAAUAGUCACCAGCGUUGUGUAGAAC
Molecule: long non-coding RNA, 1497 nt
Organism: Schistocerca americana (American grasshopper)
Lineage: Eukaryota; Metazoa; Arthropoda; Insecta; Orthoptera; Acrididae
Exons: 3
Source: RefSeq, a predicted model, not a curated record